UCAAAAGAAAUAAUCCCACCCAACUCUCUAACAAAUAAUAGCUUAGCUUAUUCAUACACAAAAUUCGAAUUGUUGUAAAAGAGUCAAACAUUCUCAUCUGAUUUUGAUGAAACUUGAAUUGUAUGUUUAUAACCCACAGAUCUCGGCUACUUUCGUUAUUCGCGCAUAUCGGACCAUAACUUCCUGAAUUAUCACCCCUGAUUGUACUGAAAAUCGCGUUUUUAGCUUGUGGACCAGAUAGAGGUCACAAUUUUUAUCCGAUUUAAAAAAUCGUUUGAAUAUAUCACCAUUACACACUAAGAUCUUGGUUCCUUUUGAUAAUCUUGGAUACCCGAACUUAACUUUCUGGAUUAUGGCCCUUGAUUGUUCGAAAAAUCGCAUUUUUAGCUUGCAGAUUGUCUAGAGGUCACAAUUUUUUCCAAUUUUAAAAACCGUUCUGCCAUAAUGAAUUUGUAUUUCGGGAAAAUCGAAAUGAAACUGCCCGACAAAAUGGCCCCUCUCUGUACGCAAAUUGUGUAGAAGUGUGUUAUACGAAGGUUGUGGACCGUCUAGAGGUCACAAUUUUUAUCCGAUUUUGAUGAAACUUAAAACAUAUCUUUAUAUCCCAAAGAUCUCUGUCCCUUUGGAUAUUUGCACAUUUCAGGCCAUAACUUUCUGGAUUACUGCCCCUGAUUGUACAAAAAAUCCCUUUUGUUUUUAGCUUGUUCUCUAUCCAUCUCUUGCAAAAUGUGGGCGUAUCCUGCCUGGCAGCCGCUGGUUGUAUUUCUCGAUGUCCAAGUUCGUGAUGAGUUCAAUUUUACAAGAGAUAUCUUUUUUAUUCGCUGGGAUAUUUAGUUGUACAGUUGAUUUUAUUUAACCGGGGGUAAUUUCAAACACACAGGUAAGUUUAUAAUAACCAAAUUUAAGUAGUUGGUUCUCAUAAUCGAAGAAAUCCGUUUAUAAUUUACGACGGUUCAGACAGUAAGUCACGUUAUGAAUGGCUACUUUAGUCCAGCGCCGACAAAGGAAUGUUUAUGUCGACGAAUAAAGAAGCCGAACAAAUAUUUUUCUUUUUGCUCCCCACACACGUCGAAGAUGGUCCCGCAGAUGAUGAAUGUUUUAGGUCGAACAAUACACAGCAGACCCGCAGACGAAUGUAUGUGAUCGCUGAUUGGUGAUGCGUGGCAAAAAUGUUAAAAUGUUCUGUGGAUGUUCGGCUUCAAUACAGACGACGAACAGAGUCCAAACAUUGGACCAUUCAAGGGAACAAACUGGAAUAGUUCGUGAGGACCAACUCUUUUCAGAAAUUCAAUAUCAUGGCACUGGUAUUUUUAGCUUCUAAAGAUGACCGAAAUAUCGGUCAAAAUUAGCUGUUUAUUAAGCAUUGCAUAAAGUUUCAAACCCAAACUUAAAAGUGAAUACAGGAACCUUUUGCAAGAAAUGUACAUAUCUCAGAUAAAUGCUAAUUGAUGAUUCGUUCAACAUGAAAGGUGCAUCCGUGAAACUAACAUUGCAAUGGAUUCAUAGAUAACACAAGUCAGAAUCACUAACUUAAAAACAAAAUUUGUGGUGGAGACACCAAUUAGCGACUUUACUUUUUUUAACCCAGGUAUGUUACACAAAACUACAUGAACAUGCAGUAUACUGCUAGGCGCAAGUUUGAGAUAUAAGUAUGACACAAUUUCAAAAACAUCGAAAAUAUUGCACCGCUUGAAGGCCACAGGUAAUUAAAAUUUUAAUCAACAUGAAAGGUGCGAGUGAGAAACCAGCCUGAUGACACCAGAAAUCAUUAUCACCAACUUCAGAAUAAACUUUAUAGUAGUCGGUGUACUAAAGAGAGAAUGGCCCGUACUUUGAAAUAUAAUUAACAUGAAAGGUGCGACAUUGGAACGAAGUAUAAAAUGAAGGGAAUGAUCAUAGGAUCCACAAACCACUGAGUCACGAACGUGUAGUUUGGUGGUAGAUCAACAGCAGCCGGUGUGGCCAAUACCCAUUAAAAAUCUGUGGCAUGCAGUAACAAAUGGCCGGAAUGCUACGUGUCCUCUUGAUCAUUAGCAGUGAUACAUUGAUAACCGCCCACUGCCAUCAUACUAAUAGUCAUUUAAAACAGAGAUAUAUGUAAUGUUAUCGUCGACAUCAAUCAACUGAAACCUAACUUUCCUCUUCAUCUGAGAAGAGACAACUGUCUUCAUCAGAGAAAGCAAUGUCGACGUUAUGAUCAGAGGUAUCCUGAUCAGAUUCCUAAAUAUCCUCUUCAAACCAUUCAGUUCAGGAUCAUUAAACCAUGUGAUAUC
Patella vulgata (common limpet) is the source of this 2273-nucleotide long non-coding RNA. RefSeq lists it as uncharacterized. Lineage: Eukaryota; Metazoa; Mollusca; Gastropoda; Patellidae. The record is from RefSeq and is a predicted model, not a curated record. The transcript is spliced from 3 exons.